RNAcentral lists this long non-coding RNA (1268 nucleotides) under Bos grunniens (domestic yak). RNAcentral describes it as "lncRNA (ENSBGRG00000002534.1)". Lineage: Eukaryota; Metazoa; Chordata; Mammalia; Artiodactyla; Bovidae. The record is from RNAcentral.
AUUCUAAGCCAACACUCAUGGUUCUCAGCUCUGUGGACAGGUGUGGACAUCUCUUUGUCCUCAUUUAAUCUAGAGCCGGUGCUAUCUGUGGCUAACAGUGCCUAUGGAUGUAAUUCCUUCAUUUCAUCUCUUUUUUCUGUGUGUGUGUGUGCUAAUGCAUUGCCACAAAGGAAACAUAUUAGAAAGACAGAUAUCCAUAAAAAGACUUUCCUUAGCUUAAGAUUUUUGUUCCGAUUCUCACUUUUGUUAGGAGGGCUCGGUUUUCAGUGUCUCAGUCAGCCCCCCGCCCCCCGCCACCUCCUCACUUUUCUUUUGAAAAAUGGAAAGGUAUUCCUUUUCUAUGAGCCACAAAGACGUUUCCGUAAAAGGAACCGCAUCAGGCUCCGUCUUCCCUCUCUCCCUGGUGAGUGGAAGUGGGUAGAUGCUCGUGGGUUGGGCUCAUGUUUGAAUCAUUGGCUCCAGGGUUCUUGCUCAAGAGGAAAGACUUUUUCUGUCGCCGCACCACGGCGAGGUCAGGGCACUGACAACAAACAGUUCAACUUCUCGAAACCUCGUGGUGCCUUUUCUUGUGGUGCUUCUCUCGUGUUUCUCCAGACAAGGCAGCCACUUGCAGCAAACAGCAGUGUCAGGGCUCUUCCUUGGUAUUACGUGCCAGUGCAGUAAAAGACUUAAUGUAUACAUAUAUAAACAGAUAUAGAGAUAUCACUAUAGUUAUAUAAUUAUAUAAUUGAGGUUCUGAUGCAGCUUUGGUGGGAGUUGAUUACUCCUCUGCAAAAAUAGACACUACUCAACGGGAACUCACAGCUCUGGGGGAGAGUUUUGACUUCUGGGAAGGACGCCAACAAAUGAGAUAGGUUACUUCUGGUGAUGAGUUUUCUUCUCCUUUCUUGUAAAAGUCGCUGUCUCCAUAAACGUGGAACGUUUGCGAAGGGAGCCAAGAGCAGCUUCUUUUUUGAACUUCCUUUGGUGCUGAUAUUUUCAAAAUUUCUUUGUUGCUUUUGCUUCCUCAUCAGUGGCUAAAAGACUUGUUUUCCAAAACCUCGACCCACCCAUCAAAGGGGAUGGGGGACUGGGAAUAAAAGGCUAGAGGUUGGGGGUCUCUGACUCUGUGACUUAACCCAGACCGUUUUCUGGGUAUGGCUCCCAGACUCAGUCUCCCCGUCUCAAAUAGACAUCAUAUUUCCUUACCUCACGGGGAAGGGUAACUUCAGAGGAUUCAUCAAUGGCCCUCAAACAUGAAAUCAUGAUUAAUUUGGAGACAGCAACUU